CAUGAUCACUCCACGAUCUGAUCAAUGCGUCCUAAAGAAAGGAGGAAUCAACCGUUAAACUCACGGUGCGGCAGUGUGGAGACCUGUCGUAAUGCGGCGCGUCCCUCGCGGGCGGUCGCGAGGUAUCCGGGAGGAGUCCCGUAUACUAGAGUUAACAAUAUGGCA
This 165-nucleotide non-coding RNA is filed under the name bovine gut metagenome. Its description in RNAcentral is "malK-I RNA". It matches the Rfam family "malK-I RNA". The record is from RNAcentral.